This 547-nucleotide ribosomal RNA is filed under the name uncultured bacterium. RNAcentral's name for it is "bacterial SSU rRNA". It matches the Rfam family "Bacterial small subunit ribosomal RNA", at positions 355 to 896 of the family's 1533-position model. The record is from RNAcentral.
UGGGGAAUAUUGCGCAAUGGGGGGAACCCUGACGCAGCCAUGCCGCGUGAAUGAAGAAGGCCUUCGGGUUGUAAAGUUCUUUCGGUAUUGAGGAAGGUUGAUGUGUUAAUAGCACAUCAAAUUGACGUUAAAUACAGAAGAAGCACCGGCUAACUCCGUGCCAGCAGCCGCGGUAAUACGGAGGGUGCGAGCGUUAAUCGGAAUAACUGGGUGUAAAGGGCACGCAGGCGGUUAUUUAAGUGAGGUGUGAAAGCCCCGGGCUUAACCUGGGAAUUGCAUUUCAGACUGGGUAACUAGAGUACUUUAGGGGGGGGUAGAAUUCCACGUGUAGCGGUGAAAUGCGUAGAGAUGUGGAGGAAUACCGAAGGCGAAGGCAGCCCCUUGGGAAUGUACUGACGCUCAUGUGCGAAAGCGUGGGGAGCAAACAGGAUUAGAUACCCUGGUAGUCCACGCUGUAAACGCUGUCGAUUUGGGGGUUGGGGUUUAACUCUGGCGCCCGUAGCUAACGUGAUAAAUCGACCGCCUGGGGAGUACGGCCGCAAGGUUA